Long non-coding RNA from Triticum urartu, 2229 nucleotides. RefSeq lists it as uncharacterized. The record is from RefSeq and is a predicted model, not a curated record. NCBI's taxonomy places the organism in Eukaryota, Viridiplantae, Streptophyta, Magnoliopsida, Poales, Poaceae.
CGACGAUGACGGCCCCCCCGCGGUCGCCGCCCCCUCCUUCCCCGCAAUGCUCCGUCGAACCCUAGCACUCCAGAUCCACCUCACGCGCUCCCCCUCGUCUCCCACAUCGCCGUCGCCAACCAGUUCCCCUCACUUCUCCGUCCAGGCGCCGUAUCCAUCAAUCGAUCUCCCGAGCAAGAGACCUCCCUCCCCCGCCGUCAAGGGGCCUACACGAACCUCCACGAACCAAGGCCGGCGACGUCUACCGCGCGGCGGAUCCAACACGAGGACGACGAGCAAGGAGCGGGCUUCCUCACUCUACUCCUUCUCCGGCGACGACCUUCCCCUCCGUGCGCGCGUUCCAGCAGCGGGCUUCUCCUUCCGCUUGCUUCGUGUCGCGGAGCCGUGGAGGAAGACCCACGGACGCGGCGCCACUCCUGCCGCAAGCGGCCAUCGGCGGCGGCUGCUGCAUCGUAGGUCAGUCCCGCCUCGCUCGUGCCCUUCCGCCACUUCCUCCUCCCUGCCGCCGUCCUGGCCGGGCUCGCCUCCGCAUCGCCCUCCCUGUCUGUGUCUGACAGCGUAUUCUAGGCUAGCACCGGAUCGACAUCGACGGGGAGGAGGAGCUUGUUGCAGACCAAGAGGGGUAGACGGCAGCUUGGAUUUGACGGUGGAGGGCACGCACUGAAGAUACUGAAUUCACAUGCUUGUUAACUGAAUAUAGCCUCUUGUUCUGCAACCUGCUUGACGAACUCACACUGUUAGGAUUGACAAGGCUGGUGUGGAGUUGCUGGGCUUAAUAAAAUAGAGUUCAAUGGUGAAAUACCAAAGGAAAUUACAUAGCAUCGUUCAGUAGUACAUCAGUAAGAAACUUGGACAUCAGAUAGCUAUUAGUAGGAAACUUGGAUUCUGUAUGUCCAGAUAGCUAUCAUGCAAAUGUGCACCCUUAUUUCAAGCAUUUCCGGACGAAGGGAGUAUUUUUUAGAGAGUAUACUUCUCACCAUGUUCAGGACUUCCCAGCACCUUCAUCUGAUACGCAUCCUUUUAUUUUUGUCCGUGCUUAUCAGACUGCCCUAUGAGCUUCGAGACCCAUAACUAAGUAGUUGUUUUGCUUGUUUUUGAGCUACUACCACUUUGAGUUGUUGUAGAUGAUGAGUAGAUGAUCUGGUGUACAUUUUGUGGUCUGGAAACAAAAUUACUAAGCAAGGUGAAGCCCUGAGCUUGACUUGAUCGCUGUGCUCUGUUUAUCUAACAUGGUUGAAAUGAGCGCUGUAAAGUUUCAUGUCUAAGCUCAGUUUUUAUCCUAAGUCCUGAAGUAAUUAUUUUGGUUACAUCAUAGUUUGCUGAGAAUAUUAACUUGAACAUUGUAUGUAUGCCCUAAUGCAUGUACACACACGGUUCAGCAAAUAUCGAGCUGCAGCGAAAGAAUCUGGAGCUAGAGAACAUCAAGGAUAAGAUCAAGGAAGUUCUUGCCUUGUUGGCAACAUUGUGAGAUCAUGAGCAAGAAUGACAAGAAGGGAGGCUCGUCAACCACCUACCAGCACACCUAUCAUGACCGAUGAUGAGACGCUGAAGGGAGCUCGAUGAAGCUUGGACGUUGGUGUGGGCUCCGACGGUGGUGGUGGUGCUGGGCUGGUUGUGGCCUCAUGCGUGGUAGGGGGCUAGGCUGGCCCUUGACUUCAACAGUUUGACUACCUCCUUGGCUCCUUCCUCUGCACCAUAAAUCUCUAGUGAACUCCGGCCUUGGACAAGAUCAGUACGGUGCCGAUGGAGGCCCUCGCCGCCGGUGUCGAUGUGUCCAUGAUUGGGCAGUUUGGUGUUGGCUUCUACUCCGCCUACCUUGUUGCCGAGAGGGUCGUCGUCACCAUGAAGCACAACGACGACGGGCAGUACGUGUGGGAGUCCCAGGCCGGUGGCUCCUUCACCGUCACUCGUGAUACGUUUGGGAAGUAGCUCAGCAGGGGUACCAAGAUGGUCCUCUACCUCAAGGACGACUAGGUUAUUUGCAUCUUGAUUAGGAGAUGAUGGUGAUCAUCUUUUGUUGCGGGAACCUGUUAGAUAAAGUUUAUGUGAUUUGAACCUGCAAGAUACAUUUCUGUAUAAUGUUGUGUGAGAUAAAAGUUAUGUACUUGUGAACAUAGGAGAUAAGUUAUUGAUAUGUGUUGGCCUGUCUAAUGUUAUGCGAGAUAAAGUUGUGUGAGAAAGUUUUCUAUACUUGUGUUAUUACUGUGGGAAAGAAGUACUGUUACUAUA